RNAcentral lists this ribosomal RNA (490 nucleotides) under uncultured bacterium. RNAcentral describes it as "partial 16S ribosomal RNA". It matches the Rfam family "Bacterial small subunit ribosomal RNA", at positions 30 to 507 of the family's 1533-position model. The record is from RNAcentral.
AUUGAACGCUGGCGGCAUGCUUUACACAUGCAAGUCGGACGGCAGCACAGAGAAGCUUGCUUCUUGGGUGGCGAGUGGCGAACGGGUGAGUAAUAUAUCGGAACGUACCGAGUAAUGGGGGAUAACUAAUCGAAAGAUUAGCUAAUACCGCAUAUUCUCUGAGGAGGAAAGCAGGGGACCUUCGGGCCUUGCGUUAUUCGAGCGGCCGAUAUCUGAUUAGCUAGUUGGUGGGGUAAAGGCCUACCAAGGCGACGAUCAGUAGCGGGUCUGAGAGGAUGAUCCGCCACACUGGGACUGAGACACGGCCCAGACUCCUACGGGAGGCAGCAGUGGGGAAUUUUGGACAAUGGGCGCAAGCCUGAUCCAGCCAUGCCGCGUGUCUGAAGAAGGCCUUCGGGUUAUAAAGGACUUUUGUCAGGGAAGAAAAGGCUGUUGCUAAUAUCGACAGCUGAUGACGGUACCUGAAGAAUAAGCACCGGCUAACUACGUG